This 72-nucleotide transfer RNA is filed under the name Bos taurus (domestic cattle). It matches the Rfam family "tRNA". Rfam says of the family: Transfer RNA (tRNA) molecules are approximately 80 nucleotides in length. Their secondary structure includes four short double-helical elements and three loops (D, anti-codon, and T loops). RNAcentral also lists the same sequence under 3 other names. Lineage: Eukaryota; Metazoa; Chordata; Mammalia; Artiodactyla; Bovidae. The record is from Rfam by way of RNAcentral.
UCCCUCAUAGCUCAGUAGGUAAAGAAUCUGACUGCAAUGCAGGAGACCCAGGUUCGAUUCCUGGGUCGGGAA